Molecule: ribosomal RNA, 490 nt
Filed under: uncultured bacterium
Lineage: Bacteria
Description: partial 16S ribosomal RNA
Rfam family: Bacterial small subunit ribosomal RNA
Source: RNAcentral
AUUGAACGCUGGCGGCAGGCCUAACGCAUGCAAGUCGAACGGUAACAGGAAGCAGCUUGCUGCUUCGCUGACGAGUGGCGGACGGGUGAGUAAUGUCUGGGAAGCUGCCUGAUGGAGGGGGAUAACUACUGGAAACGGUAGCUACUACCGCAUAAUGUCGCAAGACCAAAGAGGGGGACCUUCGGGCCUCUUGCCAUCGGAUGUGCCCAGAUGGGAUUAGCUUGUUGGUGGGGUACCGGCUCACCAAGGCGACGAUCCCUAGCUGGUCUGAGAGGAUGACCAGCCACACUGGAACUGAGACACGGUCCAGACUCCUACGGGAGGCAGCAGUGGGGAAUAUUGCACAAUGGGCGCAAGCCUGAUGCAGCCAUGCCGCGUGUAUGAAGAAGGCCUUCGGGUUGUAAAGUACUUUCAGCGGGGAGGAAGGGAGUAAAGUUAAUACCUUUGCUCAUUGACGUUACCCGCAGAAGAAGCACCGGCUAACUCCGUG